Clupea harengus (Atlantic herring) is the source of this 846-nucleotide long non-coding RNA. Lineage: Eukaryota; Metazoa; Chordata; Actinopteri; Clupeiformes; Clupeidae. The record is from Ensembl.
AUCUCUGUGGACAAAACCACCGCUUCACUGGAGCUCAGGGGGCUGACUCACAAGGACACUGGGCUGUACACUGUGAGCUUCAUCAUCAGGGGUGUAGAAUACCGGGGAGGCACAUCACUGACAGUGUUUGAGAGAAUCUCUGGUGCUGCCAUGACAAUCACUGGUGGCGUCCUGAUAGCAGGUGAGAGUUCUGUCAUCAUCAGAGAGUGGAGAAAGGAUGGCAAUCCUCUGCAUGGAGUUAACAUUGAUGAGCUCAACAGAACAGUUUCCAUCAGCCCAGUAAAGAAAGAAGACAAAGGAAGCUACACAUGUCAAGUCAGCAACCCUGUCAGCUCUGAGACCGCUUCUAAAGGACUGAUUGUCAACUGUGAGUUCAGCAUGUUUUGGACUGAUUCAAGCUAUUACACGUGUAUUAAACUUGGUUGAAAUGUGUUUUGUUACUGGCUAAUAUCUGUGGUUACAGACGGACCAGAGAAAGUAAACAUUACGGGAGAAGGAGCCAUAGAGAUCGGUAGUCCAGUUCAUUUGACCUGUACUGCUGAGUCCUUCCCUGAGAGCACCUACACAUGGGCAUUUAAUGGGACAGAAACAAGUGUGACUGGAGCUUCAUACAUCAAAGAGCCGAGUGAAUAUGAAGACAGUGGAACCUACACCUGCACUGCUCUGAACAGCAUCACCAAACACACAGACAAUGCAGUUUUUGAACUGUCUGUCAAAGCACAGGGGUCCCUUGGUGGAGCAGGUGGAUUGUCAGAUGGGGCUAUAGCCGGAAUAGUAUUAAUGAUCAUCAUAGUGGUUGCAGCUGGGAUUGGAAUUUCCUUCUUUCUAGUGAAGAAAAAAAGGGUG